Molecule: long non-coding RNA, 1494 nt
Organism: Oreochromis aureus
Lineage: Eukaryota; Metazoa; Chordata; Actinopteri; Cichliformes; Cichlidae
Source: Ensembl
CACAGCAGGCUAGAAUAUGCGCUGAGCCUCAGCACCAUGGUUGCAAUACUUGGACAUGUUUUCUUUAUUAAAUAAUGAACCAGACCCCAAAAAGUAAACAGCUGUUAUUGCUAGGCAACGGGAGCAGCAUUUGGUGAUGCAGCACCUGACAUUCCUGACCAUGUGGGCGGAGCAUGCAUGAAAUGGAAUGUUUAGUAGAACUGUGCAACACAAGCACUUAGUUACAGCAUUUUUCAUUGUAUCCAGACACGGCUAGAGACACAUCUACAGCAGCAUCUCUGUGCAGGACAAACGACAGUUGACGAAAAAAAACCAUUGAGAACUUCCCUUCUCCACAUUACUUUGGUUUCUUUGUUUAAAGGGCCAAAAUGAAUCAAGGGAGAUCAAGAAGAGGCUUGGUGAGUGCUUCACCAUACGCUACAGUACAGUCUGAGCUGACUAACCUACAAGAAGAAUUUCAAAAAAUACAGGCUGAAAAUGUCAAAUUAAAAGAAGAGGCAGAAAAAUCAAGAGGAGAAGCUAAAAAUUCAAAGUUUGAAACUGAAAUAGUAUUGAAGGAAUUGCUGCAUGUAGGUCUAAAACUUAAAGGAGAGAAAAUGGGAAAACAAAAGGCAGAAAAUGAGAAUGAAAAUAUCAAGAAAGAACUGUUGGAAGCUCAAAAAACACUGGAGGAAGAGAAAACCACAGCACAAGAAGCCAAAAAUAAAUAUCAAACUACAAAGAAGGAGGCAGAAAAUGUGAUGCAGGAAUUACAGGAGGUGCAGAAAGCUUUUGAAGAGGAAAAAAGGAAAAUGCAGUUGGCAACACAAGAGGCUGAAAAUGCAAUGGCUGAAGCUGAAAUACUAAGAAAGGAAUUACUGCAUGUAAAGCAAGAACUUGAAGAGGAGAAAAAAGGUAAACAUGAGGCAAAACAGGAAAGUGAAACUCUGAAGAAGGAACUGAUGAAAGUGCAAGAAGAACUUGCAGAAGAGAAAAUUGAGGUGAAGGUAUUCAAGAAAGAAAUGACAGGCUCUGAGGUGACCAAGAAAGACUGCAAAGAUGCACUUAAAGAAAUAAAAAAGCACAAAAAGGAAGCUAAAGAGCUCCUCAAACAGAAAGGGAAACUGGCCAAACAGCAGCUGAAAGAAAAAUUUCAAGACGCCGAGGAGCAGCUAAAACAAACCUUAAAAGAGAUGAAGGCAAAAGAAAAAGAAAAGAAAGCCGAGGACAGGAGUGGAUUCUGGAGCAGACUGCUGAGAAAAAACUGACCCAGCAGCAUCUUCUUCCUUCCCCGUCUCUCCACCUUUCUUUCACCCCAUCCUUCUUCUUCUCUCUCUCUCUCAUCUUCUCUACCCUCACCUGUCACCUUUAACCCACUUUCUCUUUCACCGUCCCUCUCCUCCUAAAAAUCCCCCCAAACUUUACUUGGGACGUUUGUUUGUUUUUUAAAAACUUUAUUCUGAAUACAUGUACUUAAAUACACAAAUAAAAUUGACAUAACUUGAUGAGACCUCA